GACGAACGCUGGCGGCGUGCCUAAUACAUGCAAGUCGAGCGGACCGACGGGAGCUUGCUCCCUUAGGUCAGCGGCGGACGGGUGAGUAACACGUGGGUAACCUGCCUGUAAGACUGGGAUAACUCCGGGAAACCGGGGCUAAUACCGGAUGCUUGAUUGAGCCGCAUGGUUCAAUUAUAAAAGGUGGCUUUCAGCUACCACUUACAGAUGGACCCGCGGCGCAUUAGCUAGUUGGUGAGGUAACGGCUCACCAAGGCGACGAUGCGUAGCCGACCUGAGAGGGUGAUCGGCCACACUGGGACUGAGACACGGCCCAGACUCCUACGGGAGGCAGCAGUAGGGAAUCUUCCGCAAUGGACGAAAGUCUGACGGAGCAACGCCGCGUGAGUGAUGAAGGUUUUCGGAUCGUAAAACUCUGUUGUUAGGGAAGAACAAGUACCGUUCGAAUAGGGCGGCACCUUGACGGUACCUAACCAGAAAGCCACGGCUAACUACGUGCCAGCAGCCGCGGUAAUACGUAGGUGGCAAGCGUUGUCCGGAAUUAUUGGGCGUAAAGCGCGCGCAGGCGGUUUCUUAAGUCUGAUGUGAAAGCCCCCGGCUCAACCGGGGAGGGUCAUUGGAAACUGGGGAACUUGAGUGCAGAAGAGGAGAGUGGAAUUCCACGUGUAGCGGUGAAAUGCGUAGAGAUGUGGAGGAACACCAGUGGCGAAGGCGACUCUCUGGUCUGUAACUGACGCUGAGGCGCGAAAGCGUGGGGAGCGAACAGGAUUA
This 771-nucleotide ribosomal RNA is filed under the name uncultured Bacilli bacterium. RNAcentral describes it as "bacterial SSU rRNA". It matches the Rfam family "Bacterial small subunit ribosomal RNA", at positions 28 to 780 of the family's 1533-position model. The record is from RNAcentral. Lineage: Bacteria; Bacillati; Bacillota; Bacilli.